UACAGAGGUCCCAAGCGUUGUUCGGAUUCACUGGGCGUAAAGCGUGCGCAGGCGGUUUUGUAAGUCUGUCGUGAAAUCCCCGGGCUCAACCUGGGAACUGCAUCUGUGACUGCAUCGCUGGAGUGCGGCAGAGGGGGAUGGAAUUCCGCGUGUAGCAGUGAAAUGCGUAGAUAUGCGGAGGAACACCGAUGGCGAAGGCAAUCCCCUGGGCCUGCACUGACGCUCAUGCACGAAAGCGUGGGGAGCAAACAGG
RNAcentral lists this ribosomal RNA (253 nucleotides) under uncultured bacterium. RNAcentral's name for it is "partial 16S ribosomal RNA". It matches the Rfam family "Bacterial small subunit ribosomal RNA", at positions 524 to 776 of the family's 1533-position model. The record is from RNAcentral.